UAUUCUGCCCCACGGGGAAGGAUGAGAAGCUUCGACCAAGGUUCGACUCGAGCGAAGCGAG
This 61-nucleotide small RNA is filed under the name Klebsiella pneumoniae. RNAcentral's name for it is "partial RtT sRNA". It matches the Rfam family "RtT RNA", at positions 1 to 61 of the family's 130-position model. From Rfam's summary of the family: This family represents a bacterial cis-regulatory element known as RtT RNA. The exact function of RtT is unknown although it is thought that it may be involved in changing the cellular response in relation to amino acid starvation. The record is from RNAcentral. Lineage: Bacteria; Pseudomonadati; Pseudomonadota; Gammaproteobacteria; Enterobacterales; Enterobacteriaceae.